Molecule: ribosomal RNA, 465 nt
Filed under: Vreelandella stevensii
Lineage: Bacteria; Pseudomonadati; Pseudomonadota; Gammaproteobacteria; Oceanospirillales; Halomonadaceae
Description: partial 16S ribosomal RNA
Rfam family: Bacterial small subunit ribosomal RNA
Source: RNAcentral
CCUACGGGUGGCAGCAGUGGGGAAUAUUGGACAAUGGGGGGAACCCUGAUCCAGCCAUGCCGCGUGUGUGAAGAAGGCCCUCGGGUUGUAAAGCACUUUCAGUGAGGAAGAACGCCUGGUGGUUAAUACCCAUCAGGAAAGACAUCACUCACAGAAGAAGCACCGGCUAACUCCGUGCCAGCAGCCGCGGUAAUACGGAGGGUGCGAGCGUUAAUCGGAAUUACUGGGCGUAAAGCGCGCGUAGGUGGCUUGAUAAGCCGGUUGUGAAAGCCCCGGGCUCAACCUGGGAACGGCAUCCGGAACUGUCAAGCUAGAGUGCAGGUGAGGAAGGUAGAAUUCCCGGUGUAGCGGUGAAAUGCGUAGAGAUCGGGAGGAAUACCAGUGGCGAAGGCGGCCUUCUGGACUGACACUGACACUGAGGUGCGAAAGCGUGGGUAGCAAACAGGAUUAGAUACCCCUGUAGUC